AUACCUGCCCGGCUUUAAUAUUAAGCCAGAACUGGAGAUUACAAAAACGUCUGCUUGAAACUGCAUUUUAACUAUAUUCAUGACUCUCUGCAACAGAACGACAAGGUUUGAUGCAUCAAAGAAGUGUCAUUUAUUAAGACCAAUUCUAAGUAGUAGAUAAUCUAAGUGGUAAAUAAAUUUCAGAAUAUGAUUUUCAUUAUCUCAGUCUUUACAGUCGGAUUUAAAUAGUUUAUUCUGGCAUGACAUCGAAAUUCUGUCUUAAGUCUUAUUCAAUUUUCACUUAAUAAUUUUUGGCCCAAAACCAGACGACGAAUUUCCUCAUAAAUUUCAUCACACGUGGGUCAACGACUUUUAUUUCUUUGACAUAUCCCUAUAUUACAUUGUAUCUCCCAACGCUUUACACUGACGUUUGCUACUAUCUUUCUUAGCAUCUUGAGUCGCGAUUCCCUUUCAUUGUAAGCGAGACUGAAAAAGUCAUGAAGGUACGCUUUGAACUUUUACGUCUAACAGACAACUGAAGGAUAUAGAUCCACCUGCAUUUUAAGUUUAAUGAUGAUUUUCGCUAUCAGAAUAAAUAAUCGCUAUGCAUCAAAGCACUAACGAUUACGUCAUGCAGACCUGUUGUUAUCGAAGACCUAUUACCGUAAUUACUCCACGGCUGUAGUUCAGUGCAACACAGCGACAAUACGUAUUCGUCGCGAUAUGGGGUUGGAUCGGGAUCAUUAUUUCUCAAUAAGGGUGACGCGUUUUUUUUUAAGGCUCACAGGUUUUUGGAUAGUAGAAAGUAAGAGGGAUGAAAUGGUGAUUGACUUUGCAUUAAUAUAUACAAGAGUUGCUGUGCUACUUGCAGCGGUGAUUUUAUCUUUGGAUCUUUAUCACUUGUCAGAAGAUCUGUAUGACAUGGUGUUUACUAUCUGUAAUUUGAUGACAGUUUUGACAGUUGUUUUUAAACUGUUGAUUAUGACAUGGCACAGAAAUUCCGUCGCGAAUCUCAUUUCGUUCUCGCUAAAUGAAUUCUGGCACAAAGAUUACAAGUCCACUGAGAUGGAUAUUUUGAAAAAUUGCGAACGGCAGUGCAUCGUUUUAAUAUUGGCGUUUAUAAUGUCAGCGUGCGGGACAGGUUGCAGUUACAUGAUGAGGCCAAUUAUCGAAAACAUUGGAAAAAAUGAAACCGACAGAAUUCAUCCGAUUAAAGUGUGGUUGGACUUGCCAUUAGCGACAACGCCAUAUUUUGAAAUCAUGUACUUUGUCGAGAUUUUGAUAACGACUCAAGUCGCAAUUUGUUUCUUCUGCUUUGACAUAUUUCUCUGUGUUUUAAACAUACAUGUCAGUGGUCAACUUGAAAUACUUCAAUCCAGACUGGAAUGUAUAUACGACGAAAAUCGUAUCGAGAGUCCAAAAAUGUACAGUGACGAAAAGUUGAAAAAUUUGGAAAAAUCCAGCAUAGCUUACAAUAAAUUGUGUAACUGUAUUAAAUACCAUGAAAUGGUGAUUUGGUACGUUCAACAGAUUGAGCGUAUUUUUACAAUCAUUAUACUUGGUCAAAUGUUGACAUCGAGUUUACUCACGUGUCUUGUCGGAUUUCAAUUACUGUCCGGCAUAGUUGAAAUUACCAAACGUUAUAUUUUCAUCGCCUAUAUGUGUGGAUGCAUUGUUCAAUUAAUUACGUACACGUUCACGUGCAACGAAAUAACAGUGGCUAGUUUACAAUUAGCGGAUGUAGCAUUUCACGCAGAUUGGUACGUUACGCCUUACGAUAAAGGUGGACGAAGUAUAAGGCACGGAAUAAAAUUUCUUGUGCAACGUACACAGCGUCCAUUAUGUCUAACUGCCGGAGGAUUUUUUCCAGUAUCAUUGGAUUCCUUUACAAAGGUGAUAAUUUUGGAAAAUAUCAUGAUUGCAAUGUGGCUCCACUAUGUAGCGUCGCCAAUGGCGUAACGAAUGAAUUUCUACUACCAGUAAAACUGUAAUAAUUUUGCGAAACAAAUUCGAUUUUAUUUCGUUUUCGAUUUGCAUAGGGUACGCAGUGAAACUGCUUGUCCUUAAAGCUUACUUCCUUAUUGAUAAGAAAACAGUUUACAAAAAUCAAAAGGGUUGCAGCAAACAUUAUUUAUGGUAGUCAUGAUUUUCUUCUUUUCUGCAUUUCAAACCCGUUUGGUAAGUCUUAUCAAUAUCAUAUAAUUGGAAAUUAUCACUCCCAUGCAUAUUUACUUCAGCAUUGCAUGAAAUUAGUAUAUCAUAAUAUCUGAAUUGUUAUUAAUUAAUAGUGAAGAGUAAUCUAUCAUAGAGAAAUAAAGCAAUGUCUCUAUAAUAAGUACAAACACUGUUAUCCAAAAUAUUUAUCGUAACACUGAAAAGGAUAAAGGGGUCUAGUGGGACCCCAGUCUCUUUUAUGCCACGCAUCUUUUGUAAGGUUAAAGAAGAAUUAACGAGACCGUUAGCAAUCUGUUACAUAUUUAUACAUUUGGUCUUCGAAAAAAAUGUCAAAAAUUCGGUUAAUAUAUGAAAAUAUUAUUGCGCCACCUACUUUUGGCAUUUUAGUAUUCUAAUCGACAUCAGUCUAAUUAAAUUACUCAUCAACCUAUAGAUACAAUUGCGUGUGCGCGCAUACUUAUUUAUAUGCAGCCUCUUUUCAGUAAUGGCGGACUUAUAAGUAAGUAUAUAUUAUAUUUCAAAGAAUUAUGCCUGAUAAAGUACUUUAUUAAUACACAGAUAACACAAGUCUCCAGUGUCUAUAAAAAAUUAGAAUUUGUUUUUCUUAUGCGGUUUAGAAAAUCAGAAAGCCCUGUAAAUAUACUACAAGUACAAUAGCAGUUUCUAUUGUACUGAAUUAUGUACAGUUGAAUGAGACAGUAAUGACUACAUAAUAGUAAGUGAAUCAUAUUCUAUUAUUCGUCAAAUUAUCUUUCAAUUUAGUCAUUAUGCAGUUUUUACAGCACCCUUUCUAAAUAUAAUGUGUCAUAAUAUCACAAGAUACGUUAAUAGGAAUUUUUAAGUUUCAUUCGUCAAUAGAAAUUAUAAAAAGAAUUAUGUAGAGUGCUGUUUUUCCGUCUUCCUCUUUUUUUCACAGCUGUCUUAGUACAUACGUUCUCUCAUCUACCUAUUAUUCCGAUACUAUAGAUAUAUUAUUCAAAACGCAUAAGGGAAAAGCGUCUACGACGGCAUAGCAAAUAACAUGGCAAAAGUACCUUCUACCCACACCUAAUCGAGAACCCGAUAUUACCUCUAUGAGGAAUAACAAUAAUGAAGGGAUUUUUCAAAAACAAUGACCAAAGUUGUAAUUCUUGGCUUCUGAGUAAUAUAUAAGGUUGAGAAUUGCGGAUGUUAACCGACUUGCAUAAUUUCACCUUUUAUUAGUACUAAUUAUAUGACUGUGUGUAAAGUGAUAUUAAAACUUAUUUAUUUAAAUGUAUUAUUGAAUUUUAUAUCAAGGAUAACAGUUUAUUUGUGCAGUUUAGAUGCUAUUGGAACAGACAUUACAGAGAGCUCGUUGCCAUUCAAAGUAAUAGUAUACGACCUGCCACUUCAAAAUACAUUAUGUUACAUAAUAGCACUUUCCAUUGAGGUAAUUUAAAACACUAUUAUAGUAGUAACAAAAAUAUAUUAAAAUACUAUAUAUAAAAUUUGAAUAUCAACAUAAGAUACGUACCAAACUUCAAUACUGGAAUUUACUGCCCAAAAUAAAAAAUUGUAUAGUCAAUCUUGAGAUUGACUUGAGUUUCAUCUUUUAAAGGGUUUUUCCAAAAACAAUGACGAAGUUGUAAUUCUUGGCUUAUUAUUUACAUAGUUACCAAUAUAUUAUACAAUAUAAACAAUACAUAAUAAUUCAUGUAUUGUUUUCCAAAUAAUUAAAACUGCCAGCACAGGCAUUUGCACUCUAACAUUUGGAUCGUACUUUUACUACACAUUAAUAUUUAUGUCUGGCCAGUUUAAAAUCUUACAGCGGAGGUUGGAAAAUGUAUGUAAGAUGCAAUUAAAAAGUGAAACUAUAAAGUCAGCAUAUAAUUCUUAUGAAGACAAGGCUGUUUAGGAAAAGCUCAAAAACUGUAUUAAGCGACAUCAGUUACUAUAAUAAUUUGGUACAUAAGAAAACUGGAAGGUUAAUUUUGCUACACACUGCUACUGCUUGUAUUAAGCAUUGUCAUAAAACUUUGCUUCUCUGGCUUUCAACUGGUUUUAGUAAAUACAAUAAAUUUUCAUCAAGCACUCAACUAUUAUUUUUACUAUAAAACUAGUUUGAGUUCCAAUAACGAAUAUUCCCCAAUCUCCUCCACAAAGCACAGACAAAUAACAUAAUAUCUAAUUGAAAUCCAGUAAAAAUUCCACAGCUGCAAUUUCUCCUCUUCACCAAACUAAGUUAAUAAGUAGAGCGUUCCCCUACUACCGUGCACACCAUU
RNA transcript from Cephus cinctus (wheat stem sawfly), 4397 nucleotides. It is a transcript of the gene named odorant receptor 13a, with no coding region annotated. Lineage: Eukaryota; Metazoa; Arthropoda; Insecta; Hymenoptera; Cephidae. The record is from RefSeq and is a predicted model, not a curated record. The transcript is spliced from 7 exons.